This is a long non-coding RNA of Pogonomyrmex barbatus (red harvester ant), 414 nucleotides long. The record is from RefSeq and is a predicted model, not a curated record. Lineage: Eukaryota; Metazoa; Arthropoda; Insecta; Hymenoptera; Formicidae.
AAGAUAUAUCGAAAUAUAUCGGGCGAGCAUCCGUUAUAUCCAACGACCUUCUUUCUUUUACGACCGCUUUCCACUUUCGUUGCCGCGCUGCUGCGCCGCGCAACUCCGUUCUGUGGCUCGUGCUUGACGAGCGUAGAGCGUAGAGUGCGACGAAGGUAAGCGGGAGGUGGCCGCGACCGGCCGGAGGCUAGCCGGAGGUGCCGUGCCGUGCCGUGCUAUGCCGGUUCAGUCUUGGUUCGACUGGUUACUGCAACCGAUCGGCUGGUGACGUGAUACACUCGUGACAUGUGUCACGCGAGUGUUACUGCCGUUGUCGUCGACUUUCAUUAUUAUUAAUAUUGCCUGAACGCGAAUCAAGUUUAGGACCUAUAUUGUCAAUUGCAUUGCUCAAUUUGUAGCAUAUAUCGGUAUCUA